CAGCAAGCGAGGAAACACAGAUCCAGAUCAGCCUUCAAAGAAAGACAGAGGCAAAAAGUGUAUCACCCUGCAAAGCAAUGAAGUUGGAAACAUCUUUCAAAUGAGGGCAUGCACAUGAUCUGAGGAGUUCAUAAUUUUCUACAAAAAGAAUAAUUUGACUUCUUACACCAGCCUUGUAGUUGAUACUAAUUGUCAAAACUCUACCAUCAUCAAGCAAGAGACAUUCAUGGUUCAGUGAUGCUGAGUGACCCCAUGGAUGAGCAAAUCCUAGCUGUUUUCCAGUGCAGAGCACUGUUGCAAGAUAGAGAAGCUCCUUAUAAACGUGGGUGUCUGUCAUGUAGGCACUGAAAGAAAAAAGUUGAAAUACAGACCAUUUUCUAGUAUGCUAUGAAUGAGAAAUACUCCUGAUGAAAGAAGAUUAUUAUACUUGCCUUCAGACUCGGAGAAUAGAUUGCUGCUAAACAUAGUGAAGGUCAGA
Molecule: long non-coding RNA, 478 nt
Filed under: Cyanistes caeruleus (blue tit)
Lineage: Eukaryota; Metazoa; Chordata; Aves; Passeriformes; Paridae
Description: lncRNA (ENSCCEG00000023902.1)
Source: RNAcentral